CCUUAUCCAGCGUUGCUAGCGCAUAAUGCAACGUUUAUAUCUCCGUUGGUAAAAGGGACCGUUGCAAGGAUGCAACACAUAAACCAGACUGGUGCAACACUUUUAUAUGUUGGUCAUUAAUGUAGAUGAAUCAAAAUCCCAUUGCCUGGCAACGGAGAAUUCGCAACCCUUCAAUUGUUGGUACUCACAAAAUAUGAAAUAAUAUUAUUAUUUUUAUAUUUAUUGUCAGAAAUUAAAUUAAUGCUCCACUAUGUAUUGUGAAGAACAAAUAGAUAAUUAUGUAUUUCAAGUGAAAAAAAACAAGAGAAUAUACUCACGGGAGGGAGAAAUCAUAUAUGAGAUAAAAUUGUUGAAUUACAGCAGUGGGUAUUACAAGAGAAACAUCCUCCACAUGUGAUGAAUAAUCUAAAUAGUUUCUUGACAUUGAAACUAAAAUUGAAAGCAUCCAUCAACAUCCCAAAACUUAACUAAAACAUAACCAGGGAACAUCAUCCCUACAACUUAAUUAAAACUGGAAGCGUCCAUCAUCAUAAUCAGCAUCAUCAUCAGGAACUUCAUCGUCAUAAUUGCAGUAUACUUGUCACACACCCAUAUAAUGAUCCAUUUAUCUUUUCAAUCUACAAACAAAAAGCAAAACGAACUGUUAACACACAAUGCAUUGAAAUGAUGCAAGUAGUGACAGAGGCAGGAUAUUAGUCGCGUACAAAUAUUACUGAAGUUGUAACCAUGAAAGAAUUGCAAAGCUUAGCUUGUAAAUACCUAAUUUGCAAUUUAAGUUCCUACCCUCAUACAAAUGAAAUCCACAAGUAUAUCGCUUUUUGACAAUGCAAGGAUCAUCCUCUCAGCCUUCGCAACAUAGCAGACAGAAUUUUCUUCAAACAUCAUAAAAAAAUAUAGUAAGAUCAUUGUACUAUGCAUACUGAAGUUCACACCGUUCUAAAGCAAAUAAACAGUGUUUGUGUUCAAUUAGCCUGAUCAAACCCUUGAAGAGUUACAAAUAUAUGCAUCUGUCAUUUAUCGAGUUUACUCCUAACAGAAAAUUGUGAACUUACUUCCACUAGAAUUUUCAUCUACUUUGUAUAUCAGUAUAUCACUAACAAGAUUUCAAAGUCAUGUGAUCAAAGAGAUUCGAUAUGAUGUACUUACAACCAAAGCUCCAUUUACUGUAGCAUUGUAGUGUUGAAUAGGCCAUUACCAUAGAUGCAAAUCUGGAAGUACGUUAAUAUGUAUGAAAUUUACAAUCUUACUUAUAUUUUGUUCUCGCCCCUUUUGUUGCAGUACAACAUGUCACAAUAUUUAUAUUAGUAUAUAUAUGUGCAGAGGUAGCAAGUAGCCAGCUAAAAAACAAUUAAUGCAAGCUGCAAAAUAUUGAUCCGAAAUACAUAUGAGAAGGCACUGCCUUUGCACAGUUCAUUCAGCUACAGCUAUAUAAGCUUAUCAAACUACAUUUAAACAGAAGGACACAUAUUUUUGUGUGCCAUGGCCUUGAAUGCAUAAUUCAAUUCAAGAAAACGCAAUCACCAAACAGAUGUAGAGAAGCAAAAGUUGUAGUCUGAAGUUGCAGUAUACCUGAUCAUAUAUAAUACAUGUCAUUUCUUAAUCACGUGUCCACACCAAUAUACCUAAAAAUGCAGUAGCAUGGAAAAAAAUAUAGGGGAGAGAUGCAGCCUUCCAGUGAACUGCGUUUUCCAGCUAUAAGCAAGCUUUGUAAUAAUAUAUAAUCGGGUGAGAGGAGAGUUAGAUCAACACUUCUUAUUAUGGGGUAAAUUAAUAAGUUAUGUACCCCCUCCAUUCAAAAAUAAGUGUCCUGUACGAUUUACUCUUCAACAACAUAUGGAACUUGUUCAUUCAACACAAGUUGUUUAUGGUAUGAAAAUUGAACAAAGAAACCAUAUACAAAUAUUGUCUUUAUUCAGAGGAGUGUAAAUGCUGGUCCUUUUAUUGAGUUGUAGAGUAAAGUAUCAGCAUACAUGAAUCAUCUAUCACAAGAACACUAAGAAGACGGUGUGAACCACUAACUUAUAUAAGCAACAGUAGCUCGGAAUGUGCACUCCUGGUGCAACGGUUCAGUGAGAUUAUACCCAAAAAUGAUGAACUUCACACGUGAGUACCUGCAAUGCUUGGAAUCCAGCUACUAGCAGGUGAACAAAAUUUGAUGGACACCAUGUGCUUUUAACAUUUUUUUCAUUGGACUGCAUAGGAAAUAACAUUUCUUAAUAUCACUGAACAACGCACUUGGUGCCAAGAUUAAAAAAUUAUGAUUAUAUGGUAUGCUGAUUCGAGUUACCAUCCAGUGCAAUGAAACUUAUGUGUUGUAUUUGCGCAUUAUCUAUUUGAAACCUCAGUGGCCACCACAUAUUUUCGGACAAUAACAACAUUGAUCACUAAGGUAACGUGUCCAUCUUAUACAGGAUAUUACAACUAAGCAAUGUGUAGACACUGCAUACUAUGACAAUCAUGUACGAGUCUCUGAUCUUUAAGCCACAUACCUAAUAGAUGAAGAAUAAAAGGCACAAAUCAUAAGCUUAUUUAACUUCUUGGCUCGCUUACCAAAAAGAAGUUACGGAAGCUGACCUUCAUGUGACCACGAAUUUGGGACAAACCUGACAGAUUUCUUCGGUGGGGAAGGAGAUCUCGCGGUGAUGGAGCUCGUGGACACGAUGGUUUGUCAUGGGGAGGCUGAUGGCCGCGUCGGCGAGGGGCUGUGCGCUGACUCCAUACCUUGCAUCCCGUGCUCAGGGACCUGACAGGGACGGGGACGGAGUAGAUGGCGGCGAAGGAGGAUAGGGGAGGCGACAACGGCGGUGCCGACGACGAGACCUGAUGCGUGCGAGGAGCCGACGGCGGCGCAGGAGACCUG
RNAcentral lists this long non-coding RNA (2860 nucleotides) under Triticum aestivum (bread wheat). RNAcentral describes it as "long non-coding RNA (TAES_LNC019656)". Lineage: Eukaryota; Viridiplantae; Streptophyta; Magnoliopsida; Poales; Poaceae. The record is from RNAcentral.